RNAcentral lists this ribosomal RNA (453 nucleotides) under uncultured Porphyromonadaceae bacterium. Its description in RNAcentral is "partial 16S ribosomal RNA". It matches the Rfam family "Bacterial small subunit ribosomal RNA", at positions 341 to 792 of the family's 1533-position model. Lineage: Bacteria; Pseudomonadati; Bacteroidota; Bacteroidia; Bacteroidales; Porphyromonadaceae. The record is from RNAcentral.
ACGGGAGGCAGCAGUGAGGAAUAUUGGUCAAUGGGCGAGAGCCUGAACCAGCCAAGUCGCGUGAAGGAUGAAGGUUCUAUGGAUUGUAAACUUCUUUUGUUCGAGGGUAAAGUGAGUCACGUGUGAUUUAUUGCAAGUAUCGAACGAAUAAGCAUCGGCUAACUCCGUGCCAGCAGCCGCGGUAAUACGGAGGAUGCGAGCGUUAUCCGGAUUUAUUGGGUUUAAAGGGUGCGUAGGCGGGAUGUUAAGUCAGCGGUUAAAUCGUGUAGCUCAACUAUACUUUGCCGUUGAAACUGGCGUUCUUGAGUGUAAACGAGGUAGGCGGAAUGUGACGUGUAGCGGUGAAAUGCUUAGAUAUGUCACAGAACCCCGAUUGCGAAGGCAGCUUACCAGGAUACAACUGACGCUGAGGCACGAAAGCGUGGGUAUCAAACAGGAUUAGAUACCCUGGUA